UUGAGGCUUACCUUUUGGCCCAUCCUGAUUACAACUGAUCCUCUUCAUCACUAUUCAGUCAGCAACGACCUUGCUUUAUAUUAUAUACAAGAGUUUUCUUGCCUUGUGUGGAGCUUUAUCCAAUCACUGUGUGUGGUGUGUGCUUAAGUUAAAAACUUGCCUUCCAAUUAAUGUAACGAGUGUUUCCUUUCUCAUUUCCUUUUGCCACAGAAUUGUGAGAGUCAGUUGAUAUCUUUGUAUGUGACUUCAAUAAAUUUUAAUAAAAGAAAGCAUCAUUUAAA
RNAcentral lists this long non-coding RNA (281 nucleotides) under Glycine max (soybean). Its description in RNAcentral is "long non-coding RNA (GMAX_LNC001604)". The record is from RNAcentral. Lineage: Eukaryota; Viridiplantae; Streptophyta; Magnoliopsida; Fabales; Fabaceae.